RNAcentral lists this long non-coding RNA (369 nucleotides) under Citrus x clementina. Its description in RNAcentral is "Citrus clementina (C. clementina) long non-coding RNA (CCLE_LNC002448)". The record is from RNAcentral. Lineage: Eukaryota; Viridiplantae; Streptophyta; Magnoliopsida; Sapindales; Rutaceae.
AGUUUUUAAAGAUCUUAUGCAGUCUAUUUUUUUUUUGUAUUAGUGGAUGACUAAGAUUUAACUAAUUUAUUUUUUAAUUUAUUAACCACUAAUCACUUGAGUGAAUUUUUCUUAGAAGGAAAUCAGAUAAUGAAAGAAUUAUGAUCUAGUAUGAUAGCCAUGCAAGGAGUUGUGCAUUAGGUAUCGUCACGGAAUUGACCUGGAGGUGUGUUUUGUUGACAACGGUAGAUUUGCUUUCAUAAUCCAAAUGAUAUAUAUAUAUAUAUGGUGAGAUUGCCAUGACUUGUCUUGAAAGAAAAUCUGCAACUGUGUUGGAUUCUCCUUUGGUGUGCUUUACUUCGAACUUGAACAUUGAGAGAGACACAGACN